GCCUACGGGGGGCAGCAGUGGGGAAUAUUGCGCAAUGGGCGAAAGCCUGACGCAGCGACGCCGCGUGAGGGAUGAAGGUCUUCGGAUCGUAAACCUCUGUCAGCAGGGAAGAACGGUCACUGUGCUAAUCAGCAGUGAAUUGACGGUACCUGCAAAGGAAGCACCGGCUAACUCCGUGCCAGCAGCCGCGGUAAUACGGAGUGUGCGAGCGUUAAUCGGAAUUACUGGGCGUAAAGCGCUCGUAGGCGGUAUGUCAAGUCAAGGGUGAAAUCCCCGCGCUCAACGUGGGAACUGCCUUUGAAACG
Molecule: ribosomal RNA, 305 nt
Filed under: uncultured bacterium
Lineage: Bacteria
Description: bacterial SSU rRNA
Rfam family: Bacterial small subunit ribosomal RNA
Source: RNAcentral